GCCGGAGUGGCGGAAUUGGCAUACGCGCACGACUCAAACUCGUGUACCCGAAAGGGUAUGAGGGUUCAAUUCCCUCCUUCGGCA
This 84-nucleotide transfer RNA is filed under the name Anaerolineae bacterium CG1_02_58_13. RNAcentral's name for it is "tRNA-Leu". It matches the Rfam family "tRNA". From Rfam's summary of the family: Transfer RNA (tRNA) molecules are approximately 80 nucleotides in length. Their secondary structure includes four short double-helical elements and three loops (D, anti-codon, and T loops). The record is from RNAcentral. RNAcentral also lists the same sequence under 1 other name. Lineage: Bacteria; Bacillati; Chloroflexota; Anaerolineae.